CCAUGUGCACAAGUCCUAACAUCCAAGGUGAUGGUAUUUGGAAGUGGGGCUUUGGGGAAGUGAUUAGGUCUCCAAGAGGUCAUGACAAUGGGGCCCUGGUGAUGAAAUUGGGGUCUUUAUGAGAGAGUCUGCUCACUGUCCUUCCCUGCCAUGUGAGGGCCCAGGAAGAGGGUGAGGAGCCACCACAGAAUAUUUAUCCUCUGAAAUGCUGUGAGUUUUUUAAGUGAACACACUGCCGGAGGAGCUGGUUAGGACUCACAGCACUGUGGAGCCCAGUGUACAGAGAGCUGCCCCACACCCCGGCCCUGCACACAAAGCCUCCCGCGCUGCAACACCCCCCAGAAGACUGCUGCUUUGUCACAACCCAUGGGCCAGGACUGGCAUCAUUAUCACCAAUGGCCGGUAGCAGACACCUGUGUUCCCUCCUAUACAGUCUGUGGGGUUGAACAUCUGUCAAGACACACGUGCACCCUUACCAUGUCCUACAGAACCUAACCCUGUGCUUUGCCCUGUUAUCCCUCCCUCCCCAGCCCCUGCCAUUCACUGGUCUUUUACCGUCCCCACCACUGCAUGUCUUCCAGGAGGUCACAUAGUUGAGAUGCACAGAUCUUCCCAGGCUUCCUUCCUUCCUGAGCCGGAAAUUCCUGCGUGACUUCCCCUGUAUGGAGGCACCGCUGAAUCACCUGCUAACCUCCUGAAGACUGUCUUCCAAGUCUUGGCAAUUCUGACAAAAGGCUGCAUAAUUAUGACAAAAGUCAUAAUCCGUAUGCAGACUCCGCAUGGACAUGUUUCCAACUCCUUCAGGAGGUGCCAAAGAGCACAGUCGCUGGAUUGUGCGGCAAGUGUCUUCCCAAGUGGCUGCACCACGUUGCUUUCCAAACCAGCAGCCAGGGAGAGUCCCCUAGGUCCCCCAUCCCCUAUAGGGCUCGCUGUGCUCAGCAUUCGGACAUUUGCCCCCAUGCUAGAUACUCUUAAGUUUAUGUCAUCUCUUUGAACUUAUGAAGCUUAUUACUGCUCCUGGGCAUGGAAAAUUUGUACAGAGGAAUGGAUGCGCUUUGGAGAGCCCGGGUUUAACUUGGAGCACUACCAUUCAUCGGCUCUACCAUGCUGAACCAUCAGAUUUCGUGAGUAACGAUCCUUUCACGUGCAAACAUGAAGGUUGCAGUUUCCAUCUCACUAUCCUUGUCACUUUGCUAGGACUAUCGAUGGAGAUAAAAGCAUAGUGUGAACUCUUCAGAGUCACCUGCACAUCAGAGGAUAAAGAGUAGGGACGAUGAGGAACAUAAGGAGUGGUCACUUCACUUGUAGUUUCAAGGUCAAAG
Canis lupus familiaris (dog) is the source of this 1322-nucleotide long non-coding RNA. RefSeq lists it as uncharacterized. The record is from RefSeq and is a predicted model, not a curated record. The transcript is spliced from 3 exons. Lineage: Eukaryota; Metazoa; Chordata; Mammalia; Carnivora; Canidae.